Molecule: long non-coding RNA, 301 nt
Organism: Cervus elaphus (red deer)
Lineage: Eukaryota; Metazoa; Chordata; Mammalia; Artiodactyla; Cervidae
Exons: 3
Source: RefSeq, a predicted model, not a curated record
UCCAGAAGUUACUGUGACCUUCCGGGAUGUGGCCCAGAACCCGGCAAAGAUGUCGAAAGCAACCCAAAGGCAUCAUGCCCUUCUGACAAAUAAAGCCCCUGCUGAAGGAAAAGCAACUUAGAUCACUUAAUGGAUGUCACAAUAAUAUGAACCAGCAUAUCUCUGAUCUUCUUAUGAAGAAAGCUGAGGUACUUUGAAGGAUCUUAGUUCCCUGACCAGGGAUCGAAUCUGAAUCCUGGCAGUGAGAGUGAGACAGGAGACAGGCCCCAGGGUGAGCAGCUGGAAUGUGUUCCCUGUGGAC